RNAcentral lists this long non-coding RNA (813 nucleotides) under Zea mays. RNAcentral's name for it is "long non-coding RNA NONZMAT003083". Lineage: Eukaryota; Viridiplantae; Streptophyta; Magnoliopsida; Poales; Poaceae. The record is from RNAcentral.
AACACUGCACGGUAUACAUGAUGUAUGCGUACCAUUACAAGAUGUGCAGCUACAUACAUCUCACGUUAAACAAAGCAACUCCGGCUCAUAAGUCGUUGUCUUACGGUACCGUGUGUCCAUUUCAGAUGAUGCAUGGUACCUCUAAACAAUUCCGCAACGUUAUUGUACCAGAUGGCAAAGUCGCUCUAACAGAUUUCAAUCAGAAUUCAUAAAAAAGGGAUAAUAUACAAACACAAGAACUAAAAUUUUGAUUGGUAUAGUGCUACUCCUGUCAUAUGCUUUCCGAGAAUGUAAGCGAGUUAUAAGACCCAUUGUCUUUCACUCUAGACUUUAUUCGUAUAGUAGAGUUUAAAUAUAAAGAUUAUGAUGGGUAAACUUCUGAAGAUAGCCUAACUCUAUCAUGACGGAUAACAUUUUGCAAAACAAUUGUGUUGGGGGCCUUCGUCCUCCGAAGGUCCUCAAAAACAUGAUUUGACAAUAUCUUCCAAGUGAAAUGUAUGAACAGAUAUCUUCGGACCCAGAUUGUGAACAUGAAGUACGAUCAGGACGAAGCUUAAGCUAGACGAAGGAAGAUUGAGAUGAAGGACGGGCUGAUCACCAAGCCGUACGAGGGAUGGUGCAUAGCCGAAGCUAUGCGCAGGGGAGCUUCGGCAUAGUGGCAGAAAGGGGAACCGACUUAAAGAUGAAAAGACUACUUAGGCUUUGACAGAUCCUCAUAAGUCAUUAGCAAAUGUAGUGGACAUGAAUGUAAUUUUACAUGGGCUGCGUCCCACGUCUAUAAAUAGAUGAACAGUACUCCCGUACUGUACACAC